ACAGCUCCUUCUGCUGAGUCACAGAAGAAGCUGUGACAACUAAAACUCCCUUGACUCUGUACCUCAGCUUCGACUAGAAAUGUCAGUGUGUUACCAACAUUUUCUACUAAAAUCAAAACAUAGCAUCAUACCUGUUGCUAAGAGAGGCAACUUUGUCCCAGAUGAAAUUAAGGCAAUCUCUACCUCUUAUUCCAUACCAUCAAUGUCAUGCUCAGGCCCCAUAAUUUUUUAUACAUCUUAAGUAAUUACUGCUAUCUUGAUAUAUCCAUGCACAUAUCUUUCCUAUAGUUUAUGAUCCGUGUAUGUAAAUUGUCUUUGAAGUUUAUUUAGUUUGUGAUGUUGAGCUCAACCUGUACUAGCAGUCUUUCAUUACAGGAGGAAUAUUUCACAGCACUGGGUUACUGCAUGCUAUAGCUAGUCCUGGUUCUAGCUGUAGGCAUUGUUCUUUAACUUGAGUGGUUCUUACUGUAAUACUUUUAACAAGGCAUAUACCAACCAUAGUGGUGAUGGCACAUAGUGUUACAUAGAAGCUGACAUCAUGCAAUUUAAGUUAUUGGCUGUUCUCACCCAGCAUCAGGUCUCCUUGAUUACAUGCUAUGGCCAUCCCCAUUGCUCUGUGUCACCUAACUCAUGUACUGUGGUCCCUUGAGCAAAAAUAAUCCCAUGAAUAGGCUUAGCUUUCACCCAAGGCAGGAUUGACUUGGACUGCCUUGAACAGUGUCUUUAUGUGCACCACUGGGACUUCAUCCCCUCUGACAGUAUGCAGGAGGCUUGAUAGGGCGGGACCAGCUCACCUGGCAGAUCCCCCAAGUGUUGACUAACCAGGUGUUUUUUUGCUAAAUGUCCCAGUGUUCGAAUGUCCCUGCACCUAUGGCUCUCAGUGUAGUCUUAACUGCCUCUGUGCUACUUGGUUUUUCCAAAGGUUGUGCAUGAGAGGGGAUGGAGUACAGGCACUUUAUGUCAUGCUGUUUAGCCUAGGUGGUUAGGUUGUUUCAGAAAUGAGUCCCAUUGUCUGACUCAAUUCUUUCUGGGGUACUGUGCUGCAUCAAUACUUGUUUUCCAAUGCCCAGGGGUAGUAUUUUGGGUGGAUUCUGUUGUCCUCUGUACCAAAGAGACUUUAUCUGCUUGGCUUGUUGAACUACAGCAUGUGUUUCACAGUCGUAGAUCACUUGUGUAUUAGUGUUCCAUCACUCAGUCCAUCUAGUCUAACUCCUCUUUGCUGAACUGGAACAUCUACAGAGCCCCAUACAGCCUGACCUUGAGUGUCUCCAGGGAGGGGGCAUCCACCAUCUCCCUGGGCAGCUUGUACCAGCACUUCACUCCCCUUACUAACUUGCCUCUGCAUACCUUCUUUGGCAGCAGUGAACUUUACAAAGAAGCUCUGUUUUUUUCUUUUUUACAUUAAUUUGGUGUGGUCUGCAGGAUCCCAAGGAAAGUGAUGCUGGAAGGGGGCAGGAAUGGAUCUGCUGGAGGGAAUUCCAGGUCUGCUUGGGGUAGUCCUGGCCUGGAGAACAAAGAACGGUGCAGGGAAGGCAUUGGGCUGCCUCACCAAGUGAAAACUUAUCAGCACAUGAAUGGUAGCAGCACACCCAUGGAUAUGUAUAUUCCAAUUGGUACUUACAGGGAGAGUGGAGAACGCAGAGACAAGGGUGGAUGCCCCAUUCCUGGAGGUGCUCAAGGCCAGGCUGGGUGGGGCCCUGGGCAGCCUGACCUGUUGGAGGGCAACCAGUCCACUGCAGAGGAUGGGGCUGUAAGGUCUCAUCCAACCUCAGCCUCUGUGAUUCUGUGAUAAGUUAGAAAACUGGAGCACAAAGCCCUCUAGGACUCAAUCCACAAUCAACAAGAAGUCUGAGUGUGGAUGGAGCUCAGCGCGCUUUGCCUGUAGCCACAAAAGGGGUCUGCAGCAUGUGGAGCAACAACAGGGACAGCACUACCUCCCAUGAGCAUCUCUCUUCCCUCACUGCGGGGAUUCCCAUUCCCUGCCCAUGUCUGAGGGUUGGGGUGCUAUCCAGAGAGACCUUAACAGGCUGAACAGUGGGCCCAGACCCAGCUAGAUAUUCUGCAGAGCCAGAAACAUGCCUGGUGCCUUCCAUGCGCUACGUUUGUUAUGCACCUUCCUCAGAAAGUUCCUGACCUAAAACACAUGGAAAAAGAUGGAAGUGUUUUUGCUGGCUUCAGUUCAUCUGAGAUGAGCCAAAAGUCUUGAAUGGAGAAUACUUUAGUGGAAAUGAGAUACUGUUUUCAGUCGACCUUUUAUCAACCUAAAGAUCCAUGCCUCAAAAGAUUUAUUCAGGGACUUCCUUGUUUACUGGCAUUAUUCAUGUCAGUGACAAGUGCCUUUCCAUAUCUGAUCUGUAGGAAAAAUCUCCCUUUUCCCCCCUCAAUUGUAUGUAGUCCAAAGCUAACUGCAUCUUAGUACUGAGAUUGUUUUCUCCUUGAAUCAAAAUAUUUUGGUUCAGCCUGUGUAUUUUCACAGAUCUUAGCUAAAUCACAAACAAUUUCAUUUCUGUAGCAUCACCAGGCUGACAGAUGUUUCACACGAGGAGCUUUUCAGAAUCUUUCUCUCCACCACUACAGUCUGAGCAAGUACCUGAACGCUUCCUAAGAUGAUAUGCAACAGCUAUAGGAGCUGUAGGAGCAGCUGUAGCUGAGGAUGCAGUAGAUAUUUGGAUACCUGUACCUUAUUUCCAUGUGCAGUCACAAGGAAAGAAGUGGAAAGCUAUGUGCAGUAUAUGUCUCUUUUUCCAAAGUCUGUUCCCGUAUAUUUUUCUGCGUAACUGAGAUUAGAAGACAGUGAGAGCUGCUUUACACAAAUUCUUUCCAUUCUUUGCUUUUGCUGUCCCUGAAUUUUGCAGGAAUGAGGACUUAAAUUAAAAGAGCAGGUGUCCCAUGAGUAACCAUUGCUGCUGCCUGUCCCUCCAUUAUGCAUUGUUGUGUUUAUAGCAGUUAGAGAAGCAGCUUUGACAGUGAUUAGAGGUAGCAGCAAUUCUGCUCACCAAUGCCAACUGCUCAUGCAGGGAUCCAGGAGGAAAGCUGUCAUUGUGCCAUCAAAGGAUAAAAAAAAAAUUGCAACAAACAGUGGCACAAAAAGACUGUUUUAGAGAAAAAAUAUCUUCAAAAUCUUAAAUAAGUACAACCCAUAAGAGAAAGGGUUGAAUCUAAUGGGUGCCUUCAAUGAGCAUCACACCAGUUGAGGGCACGAAGAUACGUGAGCAAAGUGACAAAAAUGAAGCUCUGAGUAGCAUAAGCCUUUAGUAAGGGCUGCAUCUCUUUGGAAGGAAGAAGGACCUCUCUUGUUGAUGCAGCAAAGAGACAGAAAGUCAUUCUGCCAACACUGGUCUGGUGCUGACAAGCCCAGCAGAUGAUUGUCAUCAGGCAAAUCAGAUGGGAGUUUCUACUGAAUGUCGAAUGCAGCUAAAGAUCUGAUUUGCCUUGCCUGCAGUCAGUCGGAGCAAACACCUACCCAGGCACUCAGCACCUGGGUAACUCCGCAAAGACAAGGAAAAGUCAGAAAUGGGCAACACCUUGCAGGGGAGGUUGUAAAUGGAAUGUAAUGGUCCAGAGAGAGGGGAAACCUCAUGCACAUGAAGGGUUAUGCCCACUUCUCCUGAAGGCGAUGUCUUGUUGGCCAUGUCAACAAGAAGGCAGUGGGCAUAGGUCUGUGCCAGCAGAAUUGCUUUUACAAUUCUUUCUCCCAAGUUCUACUCUGUUUCCAUGAGCAAAUAAACGGAUUGUUUAAUCUCCUGAGGCAGUGGAUUUAUCUGCUUUUAAAGGGGCUUUUAUAGUCCUUUCCUUGUGUUUUCUGCAAGGUGGCUGUGUGACAUGAAAAGUAUUAUUCACCUGUGCUUUUACAUG
Molecule: long non-coding RNA, 3855 nt
Organism: Gallus gallus (chicken)
Lineage: Eukaryota; Metazoa; Chordata; Aves; Galliformes; Phasianidae
Source: Ensembl